This 573-nucleotide long non-coding RNA is filed under the name Nicotiana tabacum (common tobacco). RNAcentral's name for it is "long non-coding RNA (NTAB_LNC011343)". Lineage: Eukaryota; Viridiplantae; Streptophyta; Magnoliopsida; Solanales; Solanaceae. The record is from RNAcentral.
AGCGGAAAGAAAUAUCAAUUAAGUAAGAUUAAAGUACUGAAGAUUUAACAAAAUACACAAUAUAAUCUCACUAGGAACCGGUGUCACGAAUCUGAGCCUCUAGAAUACAUAAUAUUAUCCUAAUACACGGUAUAUCCAAAGUCUGAUAAUGCGGAAAUAAAGAGAUAGGAUAGGAGUGAUAAAAUCAAUGGCUGCGAACGCCAUGCAGCUACCUCGAUACUCCCAGAGGCUGGAUCUGCUGAUCAACUGGAUCUACUGAGCCUAAGACUGCCCUGGAUCUGCACACAAGGUGUAGGGAGUAAAGUGAGUACUCCGACCCAGUGAGUAAUAAAACUAACUACAGUCCGAAGAUAAGAAAAUCCAGUAAAUACACAAAGUAAGCUACAAUCCGAAUAUACAGCAACAUAUGGAACUGAGCAGCUAAACACCAGUAUAAAUACAAAUACAUGAAUGCAAUACAAUGCAUAUGAUGGUACAUUCCAGUACCCACUGCGGUGUGCAUCCCCAGCCAUCCAUAUUUAUUUAUCAUCGACGGCGCUCACUGGGGGUGUGUACAGACUCCGGAGGGGCUCC